RNAcentral lists this ribosomal RNA (496 nucleotides) under uncultured bacterium. RNAcentral's name for it is "bacterial SSU rRNA". It matches the Rfam family "Bacterial small subunit ribosomal RNA", at positions 28 to 524 of the family's 1533-position model. The record is from RNAcentral.
GAUGAACGCUGGCGGCGUGCCUAACACAUGCAAGUCGAGCGUGAACCCUGCGAAUGAAACUUCGGUCGAUUUUGCAGGGGGAAAGCGGCGGACGGGUGAGUAACGCGUAGGUAACCUGCCCCAUACUGAGGGAUAGCCUCGGGAAACCGGGAUUAAUACCUCAUAACACCGUAUAUUCGCAUGGAUGUGCGGUCAAAGAUUUAUCGGUAUGGGAUGGGCCUGCGUCUGAUUAGCUGGUUGGUGGGGUAACGGCCUACCAAGGCGACGAUCAGUAGCCGACCUGAGAGGGUGAUCGGCCACAUUGGAACUGAGACACGGUCCAAACUCCUACGGGAGGCAGCAGUGGGGAAUAUUGCACAAUGGGCGAAAGCCUGAUGCAGCAACGCCGCGUGAGCGAAGAAGGCCUUCGGUUGUAAGACCUGUCUUAUGGGUAGAAGUCAGUGACGGUACCAUAGGAGGAAGCCACGGCUAACUACGUGCCAGCAGCCGCGGUAAG